This 240-nucleotide ribosomal RNA is filed under the name uncultured Lactobacillus sp. RNAcentral's name for it is "partial 16S ribosomal RNA". It matches the Rfam family "Bacterial small subunit ribosomal RNA", at positions 122 to 356 of the family's 1533-position model. The record is from RNAcentral. Lineage: Bacteria; Bacillati; Bacillota; Bacilli; Lactobacillales; Lactobacillaceae.
UAACCUGCCCAAGAGAUCGGGAUAACACCUGGAAACAGAUGCUAAUACCGGAUAACAACAGAUGAUGCCUAUCAACUGUUUAAAAGAUGGUUCUGCUAUCACUCUUGGAUGGACCUGCGGUGCAUUAGCUAGUUGGUAGGGUAACGGCCUACCAAGGCGAUGAUGCAUAGCCGAGUUGAGAGACUGAUCGGCCACAUUGGGACUGAGANACGGCCCAAACUCCUACGGGAGGCAGCAGUG